Molecule: long non-coding RNA, 1056 nt
Filed under: Equus asinus (donkey)
Lineage: Eukaryota; Metazoa; Chordata; Mammalia; Perissodactyla; Equidae
Description: lncRNA (ENSEASG00005026667.1)
Source: RNAcentral
CCCGCCCCCCCCCGCCCCGCCGCCGCCGCCCCCCCGGGCCAUGCAGUCGCUCAUCUCGCCGGUGACCAAGGCGAUCCUGGUGGCUCUGUUCAUCUUCGCCAUCCUCCUCAUCCUGUACGUGAUCCUCUGGUACAUCUGCCGCGAUGUGGACUGCGACCACGGCAUCUGAGCGCCGCGGGCCCCGGGGACCACCGCGCUGAGGACGCCCCCCGCGCCGGGCAUGGGGGCUGGGCGGCCCGGCGGCGCUCCCCACCCCCUGCCCCGGGCCCCACCGCGCGCUCGCCGCCGCCCCCUGGCCUUGACCUUCAGGGACGCACCGGGGAGAGCGGGUAGGGUUCCCAAAGGGGCGGACAACUCUGGCCGCUGUGCAGCCCUCCGUUGACCUGUUGUCCAGGGGCAAGGCGAGACGUUGUGAGAACAUCCCGUCCGUGGACCACCGCACGGCCAGGACUCCAAUGUGGAGGGUCGGAUCCCUGGAGGUCACUGCUCGGCCCUUCUCUGGAGACCGCCGACCAGCAUGCCAUCCCAGCUGCAUUGUGGGGGUGAAGGGUGGGGUGACCACCACCGAGGAUUGAGGCCACCCCUCCGUCUCUCAUCUUGCCAAGCCAUCACCAGGCGGUCAGGACUCCUGGGCAGUGUCGCCUCCGGGGCCAUGCUGGCGUCUGUAACCUCCAUCCACCGCCGUGGUCCCAUCCAGCCAUCCCUGCCCCGCCCGCCUGGCCCGCCCGCUCUGAUCGUGACGUCUCCAUCGGCCUUUCCCUUGUGCGUAGUCGUCACUCACAGGGGUUCCAACGCCCGCGGGGGCGGCCCAGCGGGACCGUUGACUCUCCUUCCCGGCUCGAGGAGUCCAGAGGACACUCGGCUUCAGAUUAUCCCCUCGUUGAGCUGAGGAAGAUUUGCCCUGAGCUAACAUCGGCUGCCAACCUCCCUCUUUUUUGUAUGUGGGUCGCCACCCCAGCAUGGCCUAAUGGGGCGUGAUAUAAGCCCUCAACACAUAUGACUGACAGCUGAGUGGUGUAGGUCCACCCCCCGGGAACCGAACCCAGGCCACCAAAG